CGAGAAGAUGGGAGGGGGAAAGAAAGAAAAGAACUUGUCAUUACUCGUAGGAGAGGCCAGAAGACAGCUCCAUCUCAAAUAUGAAGUCUCACGGGCUCCAAAACUUGUGGCCAGGAGCAUUAAAGCCAGAAAGCAGAGCCCUGGUGUUACAGGGUCUUUGUCCCCAGCUAAGGCCACCAGAACUUGUCAGGACAGAAAUAUAUCCAGUCUCACUAGGAAUCACAGAGAGAUCUAAACAACUUCGCAGUUGAUCAUAUUGUAAUGGCGGGAGUGUGUGAGGAAGACCGGAAGUUGCACACGGCAAGACCGGAAGCAGCAGAGGGAUUCAAGAGUCAGGUAUCAUAACACCCUCUCUUCAUCCCUUCCAAGGGCGAUGGCCCCCAUGAUCUAACCAUCUGAAACUAGGCCCAACCUCUCAAGGUUCCAUCACCUUUCAGUACACCUCCUCUGGGGAGACCAUGUGCAUUUCCAGUUUUAUUUCUGUAGUCACUGAUACACUGGCCUUAUUCUAGGUUUGAGCUGUCAGCUGACAGAAGAUGUGGAAACUGUCACCUCUACUCACUGCUUACAGUAACUGGGAGGGCAGCGUUCUCUGAAGAGGUCACCUGCAAACACUGGACCCGCCUCCUGAUUCUGUGCCUACUUGCCCUUAGGACCAGGAAGUUGGCUAUGACCAACUUCCACCCUCAGGCUAGAGUAUACAGGUCACCCAACACCACCAGAGCUAUGAGAGGAACUGUGUACUUCGUGGGCAGAAGGGAGCCUGCUCCCUCAGUGGCAGCUGUUUAAUGACCUAGAUAUCAGAGCUGACUGGGCACUAUCUUUGCUCAUCCCAGGCAGAGAAACUGGGUCAGUCAAGAUGAGACACAGAGACGCCCUUGGCAAAACACUGUCAGUUCCACUGAAUAAAUCUUGAAAGAUUUAUCUAGCAUCUUCCAUCCAUUAAUUUUAUGGAGAAUAAAGGCAAUGUCUAGGGAGAGAACAGAACAACAGAAUGACCACUGGCUCACAGGUCAGGAGAAAUACACUGCAGAAAUGCAAGCCCACGGCCACUCUACUUUCCCUGGCAGAGCAUUAACCACACUUGGUAGAACUGCUUGUCUACUCCUCUGUUCCCUCCAGGAAGCUUGGUAUAACACACGGGCCUGCGUGUGCUGCUCACCCCUGCAUUUCUGGUGUCCAGCACAGUGUAAGUCAAUAGAUCAAUUUUAAAGCCUUCAAAUGAAUGUAUGGCAAAUGCCAAGUACUCUAUGUGAAUUUUGUAGAUGCGAAGCCCUGCAAUGGGAAGGAGGUGCAAUUUAAUCCAAAUAUGAAGAAGUAUAAAACAGGUGUUAAUAGUUGGCAGGAACAUUUUCCUUUCCUCUUUGGGUAAAGAAACUUCCAUAACAUGGCCUACGCAGCCAAGACACUCUGUCUCCUUCUGUGUCUUCAUUCUUUGGUUUAUUCAGCCUUUGGGCUCUAGGCAGAUUUUAUCCCAGCCCCUCACUCCACAAUUUCCUAGGCCACAGGGCCUUUGCACAGGCUAGUCUCACCAAAUUGCUCAGACCCUUCCUUCUUUGUGUGACCUAUUUCUGUUUAUCUUCCUCAUUACAGCUCAAACUUCACUUCUACAUGAAAAUCUUCCCUCACUGAUGAAAACCCCUACUAUGGAUUGUGUUCCUAACAUUUGUCCUGGUUAUAGUUACGUAUAGUGAUGAUUUGAUUAAUAUCUGUCUCUACUACCAGGUUAUGAGCUCCACCAGAGCCUAUGUUCUAUGACAGUUUUUCACCACUGUGUCUCCAGCACCCAGCAGAGUACCAGGCAUCUCCCAAAUGAAGAGAUUGAGGCACAGGGAAUGGAGGCAGGAUGCCCAAGACCAUUCAAUGAGCGAGAAGUGGGAACUCUAACUUCACGGAAAUGUCACCCAGUUAGUUAUUCAUGGUCAUGCAAUACUUCCCCACAUGCCUCUUGUCAGACAGGUAAGCAGCUUUUGCCUGUGGAUUAGUGUCCUCUAUAUGGACUCAUUAGCCCCAUAACAACAGCGUGUAGGCAAGAGGGAUGUUACAUCGUCUGAUCCAAUUCUAUCUCUGACAGAACACACCAGGAGUCUUCAUGACAAGAAGUAACCUGGUAACAGGCACAUAGCUUACACCAAUUAAAUACCGUUGCAGCAGUGGGAGGGAAAGUUCUCAGAGAGCAGUUCUCAAAGUGUGGUUUCAUCGGGGCAUCUCCCACCCUACUUGAGGGACUCAUAUGGUCAAAACCAUUUCUCAGUCAUACUGAGCUGCUUUGCCUUUCUCUCCCUUCUCCCUGUCCACACAGUAGAGUUUUCCAGAGACUAAGUGAUGUGCAAAGACAGAAGAGACUGAACGUGAAGCAGACAGGAGAAUCCAGCUGUCUUCUAUGCUUGGAGGCUGACCGACUGAGACACCACCAGAGUGGAGUGGGCAGAAUUUCCUGAGUACACAGACUCGUGACCUCACGCCUCAUUGUCUUGUCAAUACUACUUCCAUGCCUGUGGGACUGAAGGUAAAAGGUGGCCCCUCCAAAGCUGGAUGCCAGCCAGUGGUUGGCAGGGACAGAGAGCAGGCUCAGAAGUGACUCAGAGAAGCCAUCUCAGACACGAGCCACACAGGGAAAGACCCAUGGCAGCAAAACCACUGUGCUGUUCCCACUUCUCUUCCCCGGUAAGGUUAAAGAUGAAAAGGCCACUCAAAGGCCAGUGCCAUGGUUCAGCAACAUCAGUUAUUAAGCACAAGGUGUGAUUCAAAAAUGUGGUGAAUGUUCAAAUUUAUAAAAAUUUAUUACACCCUUUUCCCAUCAUUCUUGCCACUUUCUGAAGCCGGACUAGAAGUUCUCUUUUGUGAGUGUCUUUUUAGUUGUGCUCACAUGACUGCAUCAGUGUCCUGAAUCAAUCAAAACACUUACCUUUCAUGGUCAUUUUGACUUUGGAAAAGAGCCAGAAGUCAGAGGGCCAUAUCCGGCAAAUAAGGUGGAAGAGAACACACUAGCAUGUUUCUACAAGCCUGCCUUGCUGCUGGAUGGCACUAGGCAACAGCGUUCGCCAUAUUUUUGACCAUACCUCAUAAAGACACUCACCACAGAGGACUUCCAGAUCUGCUUCAGAAAGUGGCAAGAAUGAUGGGACGAGUGUGUUCAAAGCAAGGGAGGAUAUUCUGAGGGGGAUUAAAGGCAAUAUGUCAUUUAUAGGAUUUAAUUUAAAUAUUCAUUGUAUUUUGAUCACCCCUUGUAUAUUUGACAAGUGGGGUCUGCCCUUCAUUCCCCCAAGUAUCUAGGUGCCUUUGCAGGAUCCACUCAGAAGCCUCAAGACUCAGGAACAGCAGGGGGGCCUCCAAGACCCUGUGCCCAAUCCUCACGGGGCAGUGCUCAUCCCGCCCAGCUGCUCCAUUCUCUGAAGAUCCCUCACUUGCUCCUGUGACAGGACCUGGCUCUGGGUGCCAGCAUCUUUUAUAAAGUCACACAUAGAAAUGCCCCUUUCCUCCUCCAGCCCAUCCCACUGGGACUCAUCAGAGAUGAUGUCCCUGACUCUGGGGCAAUGCUAACAAUCCAACCUCUCCGGCUGUCUGCACCUUGGUGGGUGGCAGUUGGGACAGUGAGAAGCAAGACCACCAAGGGUCAGGUUCCAUGGCCCUCGCUCCUCUGGGCAGUUUGUAUAAUGCAUCAUAGGGUCUCCAGUAGCCUUCCAGGCAGGCUUUUACAAGUACUUCGCAGAUAAGGAGACUGAUGCUCAGAGAAAUUCAAAGGGAGGCCCCACAAAUGUUAGGCAGUAGUACCCCGUGCCCACAGGGACAGGUACAAAGACGCAUGGGAAGGAGGCAAAAAUCCUCUGAAGCCUGGACCAGGCCCCAGCUUCCCCAGGCAGUUCCAUACCAGACUGUGGGUCUGCCCUGGCCAGAUCUGAACUUUCCAGAGAGGCUAGAAAUCUGGAAUUUUUGGUGCGAUGUCCAGAUUUCGAAACAACAUUUAGACCAAGCCCAGCAGAGGUCAGCUCCAUAGAGUUUCCAGUUGCCACUCCCUCUAAUUACCUCCCUGCCUCCAAAAGCAAGUCUGUUUCUCAACCACAGCAGGCACGAGGUGCCAGCACAAGACCAGGCAGAGCCAUCUGGGCCCACAAGACAGACCUCGCUUCAUUCCUCUCAAAUGAGGGUCCCCAGAAGACAACGUCUGCACUUACCUCAUGAUCUAUUAGUGAGUCUCUACCUGAACAAGCCCAGGUCUGUGUAACCCACAACGCAGGAAGCCUGGGUUCAAAUCCUAGCUCAGGCACUUGCUAGCUCGGUGACUCCCAGUGAAUUAUCCCACUUCCAUGGGCCUCUCCUUCCUCACUUGUAAAACAGUGCCUGUCCUGUAGAGGUGUGGGGAGUCAUACAUGAGUUAGCAUACACACAGCAGGGAGAGCCUGGCACACACUACACACUACACCAGUGACCUCAUGGAAUCUGCUCAUACUAUUCCCCUUGGCCGGGCUGUGGGCCAGAACCAGGCUCCUCUUCUUCCUUUCUGCCCUCAACUCUGCUGCCAGCUGUGCUACCUACUACAGUCAACAGACUCUGUGAGAGACAGAAAAAACGCUAAGGUGGAUUUCCCUUGGGGCUCGAGCGGCCAACUGACUCAGAAGGAAGAUGUUUCCCCUCAGACCCGUCAGAGAUCAAGCAUGAUUCUUGGAACCUCCUCUUUCCUUGAAAAAUCUCUGGGGCUUCCUUCACACUACCUCCUCCCACCCCAAGAGCAGAAGCAGGGUGGCUGGAGAAAGAAGGAAAAUGUGUGUUUCCUGCCUCAGGCCAGCUGCAGAUAACUCAUCUCUGGCUUCCGGAAACCUCAUCUUUGAGCAUUUAUUUCUCCAUGGAAAAAGUCCUCUCAGGAAGUUUGAGGGCAUGGAGUGAAUAGAGGCAGACAAUUCUAUGCUUAGCUGCUCUUUCCCCCGCUUCCUGACUUAGGUAUCAUAUUCUCUGAAAUCUAAUUAGGUGCCCAUCCUCUGCACACCCUAAUUCUGCCAGCACCCCGCUUAAACGAUCACCCCACUUAACACUACCUACUCAGUUCUCUCUCUCACCCCUUGUAAGCACCUCAAGAGCAAGAACCAUCUACCUCAAUGGUUUCCCCAAAGCACAGACCAGGAAUGAAUGUGGCAGAGCACGGCAUACUCACUCUACAAAUGAGUAACAGAAGCAAUGAGUCCUCCUUCCGCACACCCCCAGUCAAAAAGUGAAAGCCUGCUUAAGAAUCUACUUGCAGAGGUUUUUACUAGAACCAGUAGACAUAAAUCUUGUCUUCUCCACACUUUUCUAGCUUUUCCCGGUCACACGAGUGAGUUGGAGAGGGGACUUCUGGAGAAGUGUAUGUGCGAUGUCACAGCCCUGGAGGGCACGGGAAAGCCAGACUGGCUUUCCUCUAUGGAGACUGGCCCCACACCCAAGAUGCAGCCACAUCUGUGAAAACCACAUCUGUGCCCCACGGAGAACGCCCAAGAUCAGCCCAAGCUGGGGCAGACAGAAAUUCAGGGAAGACAGGAUUGUAGAUUGUGAUCACUAUCAGUUUAGCCAGCACAUGUCCAUUCUGAAAGGUCUUGGCUUUGGGGAUAUAACAUCAUGCAAGCCUUCCUCCUAAGGCAGUUUCAAUAGAAAAUAUUCUGAUUUACUGUUUUCAUAACAGAUAGUGUGCCUUGCCUUUUAUUUGGGGAAAACAGCCCACUACUGAGGUGUGACAUUUCUGAUGGAUUUAUUCUUAAUGUGUGGAAACACUUGUCCCAUAUUCAAUAUUGUAUUUUGAGAACAUAACCAUCCUCAGUUUAAAAUUCUUCCUCAUAGCUACCUCAACGCCUCUCUGCUAAAAUGUUAGCUAGAGUUCAUUUUCAAUGGCAUGUCUUAAAAGAAAGGGCCAAGCUGGCAUGGUGGCACAUGCCUAUAAUCGUAGCACUCUGGCAGGCUAAAGCAGAAGUAUGCAAGUUCAAGUCUAGCUUAGGCAAUUUAACCACUUAUCAAGAUUCUGUCUCAAAAUAAACAUUUAAAAAGGGCUGGGGAUGGAACUCAGCAUGAAGGCCCUGGGUUCAAUAACCAGUACCACAAAGGAAAAAUAAGAAAGAGGAGGAGGACGACGAAGUAGAGGAAGAGAAGGAGAAGGAGGAGGAGAAGAAGAGACCAAUCUUUGUGUCUUUGCAGUGACUGCAUCACCAGACCCAGUUCCAUAAAUCAUCUGUGGUCUGGCAUGCUUUGUAUUGGCUCAUAUUUCCAAACAGUCUCAUUUCCCAGGUUCACCUAACUUCACAGUUAGAAAGAGGGCCAGGGCUGACUGGCUGCAUGGCCCAGGGAGGAUGAUUCAGGCUUUGACACCAGACUUAGAUAAUCCAUCAAAAAGUUUAUUACUGGUUGGCUUGAGUAAAAUGCAGAACUGAGAGAGUCAUUUCCCCUUGUUCUCGUCUCCACAGAAAGAGAAACAGCUGGCUCCCCUGGUAAGGACUCAGCCUUGCCCAAACUUCAAUGCCACGCACACACUCUGAGGAGCAUGUCCGACUCUCCAGUCAGAGUGAGCUCAGCUCCUCUGCUGAACCACUGGGGAAAUCUCCAUGAAGUACUAUUCACAGGGCACGCCCUCACUUUGCUCUCCGCUGGCGCUGAAUCCCUGAUCACAUCUUUAUUCCUAGAUAUUCUCAAUGAUCAGAAUGAUCAUUUCUUCAACAUUUAUUUUGCUCUGGAUCCUAUACUACAGACACAUUAGCGUUAUCUCUGUCCUCCCAACCACUACCAGGUCGGUGCCAUUAUUAUCAUUCUCACUUUAUAAAACAAAAAGCAGAUUGAAGAAAUUGAAGCCAUUUGCCCAAGGUCACGUCGUUAAACCAAUCCUGAAGCCCAGGCUCUGAAUCCAGAAGGUGCCCCCUUAACAUUCUAUGGAACCUAACAGAUCUCUGCUAAACAGUAGGACUCUCACAAUUGCCUGAGAAGUGAGCUUGGGACAACUUAUCCUUCUCUCCCUCUACAUCUUCUUUCUGACGUUCCCACCACCUCGGGCCCUCCACCCUGACACCUCGGCCCCAGCAAGUAUAUGGAUCUAUUCUGCGAGCAAGUCUUGCCAAAGGGAAAAGGAAAGGAAGUGUGCGUUAGCUAUGGCAGAGAGUGGCAUGUCCAUUUCAGCAUUUUAGAUCCGGACAGGACAGCUGUGUUUAUGUCCACAGAGGCGCCUGCAAAUGUGGGAGCACAUGUGGCCCAGCUUGUCCCAUGCAUUAUGAGACAUUUAGGUCACCUACAUGCCAGGGACAUGCUUCAUGCCCCCAGCUGUGCUCUGGGUCUCUGCACUGAGGCGAAAGCCUGCCUCCACCCUAGCCACUCUGCCAAAGCAAACCAGAGGAUGGAGGCACACUAACAAUGGUGGCACCAGCUCUGGGUUCUGAAAGGCUCAGCACACAUCUGAGCAGAGAGCUUCAAACCCUGACCAUCAGAGGCUCGCACCACGGAAAGCCAAGAGGGCAUCCAGUGGUGUCCCAACUGGAAAGGAGAGCAGAGGAGGGCUGCACCUUGGGGAUGAACAGUGAGGGCACCAUGAGAGAUGGGCUCAGAGAGCCCUCGGGAAAGGAACAACAGCAGAAAGGUCAGGAGCCGUCAGCUUAACCAUUCUCCCACCGUCAGACUUCUCCUGUUGACACUACAAUAGAGGACAAAGAGAAGGACGCUGCCAUGAACUGAACUGUGCACCCUCCAUUCCUGUGUCGAAGCCCUAACUCCCAAGGUGAAGGUAUUUGGAGGUGAGGCCUUUGGGAGCUAAGUAGGGGUAGAUAAGGUCAAGAGGGUGGGGCCCUCAAAAUGGAUUAGUGUCCUUCUAAGAAGAGACGCCAGAGCACUCAUUCUCUUCCCUUGGAGUGCACAAAGAGGAAGUCAGGUGAGCACAGUGAGAUGGUGGCCACCACAAGGCAGGAAGUGAGCCCUCACCAGGAACCAAACUGGCCAGCACCUUGACCUUGGAAUCUCCAGCCUCCGGAACACUGAAAAACAAAUUUCUAUUGUUUAAGUCACCCAGUCUAUGGUAUCUGUUAUGGCAGUUGGAGCAGAAUAACACAGGUGCCUAAGUCAGGCAGGAGUUCAAAUCCUGACUCCAUCCUUAUAGCUGCCUGGCCUUGGGCAAGUGAAAAGAUCUGCCCUUUUGCCUCAUUUGUCAACUGCUCAUGACAAAGGGUUUUGAAGGGACUAGAUAUGCUGGUGUUUCAGAGGUGCCUGAGCUAUCUGGGACAAAACACUUCCACCAGCAAUGCUUCUCCAUGCAUGCUAUGGUAGCCAGCAGCUUGCUGGCCACAUUCGGGUCACAGAUGUGUUUUCUUUGGCCUCAGGAAAUUUGGAUUAUUUACUAACUUUUAAAAGUCAAGAAAUUUCACAUAAAAAAAUCUCAGUGUCCAGUUCUUCUUGAGAAAUAAGAUGGGCCGUCAUAGGACCUGGGUGAUCGUAGCAUCAUGUACUCUAAAAGAAGGACAAGAGCCCUUCUCCCUGCAGCCAGGCUGGCUCCACCUGUUUGGCACCACAAGGCUUCUCGGCCUGCAGCCCCUGGGUGAGUGUGGCUGCCGAAAUCUGGCUUAGUCUUGUACUUUUCCUAGCUACCCACAAACAGAGCCUUUAAGUACAAUUUCAGGAUCCAGUCUCCCAAAGUGAGGAACAAUUAGCACAUUCCUGAGUCACUCUUUUAUUUAUUUAUACUUCUAUGGGAGUUAAAGAAUCUCAUAGAAAAGUCAGGGUCUCAGUUCUUUGGGAAAAUUGAGCUCUUGCCCUUUGGGGGUUGUGACCCAGCUUUGCCCCUGUGACUCACCAUCUUGAGACCUCAGUUUCCUCCCUUGUAAAAAUCAGUCCCUGUGCUGGAUGAACUAUCUCUUUCGUCUCCUUCCAUAUUUAUGUAAUUAUGAUGUGAAACUCAAGCACACAGGUAGAAGUUUAACACAAUUCUAUUUACUUAUGAGCUCCGGAGGCUUUAAUACAAGCAGAGCUCUUAAAACACCCCAGUGACCUUACCACAAGCCUUAACUCAGUGUAAACAGGACCUGAAUAAUAGCCUUGUUUAUUGUUCUGCCCACUUUGGGGUUGGGUCUUUAGCCUUGAUGUUUUACACUUUACAUUCCCAGAGACCAGGGAAUACUGGGGCAUUAAAAGGCCUGCUGGUUCAACUUCCUAUCCCUAGCAGACUCUGGUGCUCUCCCUGCCUAACUCUGCUUUCAUUUCACCAAGACACAAAUUUAACCACAUUAACAACUGCUAGUGCUCUACCACAUGGACUGUCUUUCAGUUCCUUAUUCACUGCAACCAUAGGACCUUUGCAGCUGCAGGCAGGCUCCAUCACCUACUGCCCUCUUUUUUGUUUUGUUUGUUGAUGUUGUUGUUUUAAACAGAACAUAUUUAUAAUACAUAUAACCUAUGACUAGAAUAUAUAAAGAACUCUUACAGCUCAAUAAUAGACAACCCAAUUGAAAAGUAGACGCAAGGGG
Molecule: non-coding RNA, 9455 nt
Organism: Heterocephalus glaber (naked mole-rat)
Lineage: Eukaryota; Metazoa; Chordata; Mammalia; Rodentia; Bathyergidae
Source: RefSeq, a predicted model, not a curated record